AGCCCCGUGGUGCAGUGGUCCAACAUUUGGGGUUUUGGUCCCCACGACCCAGGUUCGAAUCCUGGCGGGGCUACCA
Molecule: transfer RNA, 76 nt
Filed under: Candidatus Thorarchaeota archaeon
Lineage: Archaea; Promethearchaeati; Candidatus Thorarchaeota
Description: tRNA-Gln
Rfam family: tRNA
About the family: Transfer RNA (tRNA) molecules are approximately 80 nucleotides in length.
Source: RNAcentral